GACGAACGCUGGCGGCGUGCCUAAUACAUGCAAGUCGAGCGGACAGAUGGGAGCUUGCUCCCUGAUGUUAGCGGCGGACGGGUGAGUAACACGUGGGUAACCUGCCUGUAAGACUGGGAUAACUCCGGGAAACCGGGGCUAAUACCGGAUGGUUGUUUGAACCGCAUGGUUCAAACAUAAAAGGUGGCUUCGGCUACCACUUACAGAUGGACCCGCGGCGCAUUAGCUAGUUGGUGAGGUAACGGCUCACCAAGGCGACGAUGCGUAGCCGACCUGAGAGGGUGAUCGGCCACACUGGGACUGAGACACGGCCCAGACUCCUACGGGAGGCAGCAGUAGGGAAUCUUCCGCAAUGGACGAAAGUCUGACGGAGCAACGCCGCGUGAGUGAUGAAGGUUUUCGGAUCGUAAAGCUCUGUUGUUAGGGAAGAACAAGUACCGUUCGAAUAGGGCGGUACCUUGACGGUACCUAACCAGAAAGCCACGGCUAACUACGUGCCAGCAGCCGCGGUAAUACGUAGGUGGCAAGCGUUGUCCGGAAUUAUUGGGCGUAAAGGGCUCGCAGGCGGUUUCUUAAGUCUGAUGUGAAAGCCCCCGGCUCAACCGGGGAGGGUCAUUGGAAACUGGGGAACUUGAGUGCAGAAGAGGAGAGUGGAAUUCCACGUGUAGCGGUGAAAUGCGUAGAGAUGUGGAGGAACACCAGUGGCGAAGGCGACUCUCUGGUCUGUAACUGACGCUGAGGAGCGAAAGCGUGGG
Molecule: ribosomal RNA, 755 nt
Filed under: Bacillus subtilis
Lineage: Bacteria; Bacillati; Bacillota; Bacilli; Caryophanales; Bacillaceae
Description: bacterial SSU rRNA
Rfam family: Bacterial small subunit ribosomal RNA
Source: RNAcentral